RNAcentral lists this ribosomal RNA (253 nucleotides) under uncultured bacterium. Its description in RNAcentral is "partial 16S ribosomal RNA". It matches the Rfam family "Bacterial small subunit ribosomal RNA", at positions 524 to 776 of the family's 1533-position model. The record is from RNAcentral.
UACGUAGGGGGCAAGCGUUGUCCGGAUUUAUUGGGCGUAAAGCGCGUGUAGGCGGCCAGAUAGGUCUGCUGUGAAAACUCGAGGCUCAACCUCGAGCUGUCGGCGGAAACCAUCUGGCUAGAGUCCGGAAGAGGAGAGUGGAAUUCCUGGUGUAGCGGUGAAAUGCGCAGAUAUCAGGAAGAACACCAACGGCGAAGGCAGCUCGCUGGGACGGAACUGACGCUAAGGCGCGAAAGCGUGGGGAGCGAACAGG